ACUCCUACGGGAGGCAGCAGUAGGGAAUCUUCCACAAUGGGCGCAAGCCUGAUGGAGCAACACCGCGUGAGUGAAGAAGGGUUUCGGCUCGUAAAGCUCUGUUGUUAAAGAAGAACACGUAUGAGAGUAACUGUUCAUACGUUGACGGUAUUUAACCAGAAAGUCACGGCUAACUACGUGCCAGCAGCCGCGGUAAUACGUAGGUGGCAAGCGUUAUCCGGAUUUAUUGGGCGUAAAGAGAGUGCAGGCGGUUUUCUAAGUCUGAUGUGAAAGCCUUCGGCUUAACCGGAGAAGUGCAUCGGAAACUGGAUAACUUGAGUGCAGAAGAGGUAGUGGAACUCCAUGUGUAGCGGUGGAAUGCGUAGAUAUAUGGAAGAACACCAGUGGCGAAGGCGGCUACCUGGUCUGCAACUGACGCUGAGACUCGAAAGCAUGGGUAGCGAACAGGAUUAGAUACCCCGUGUA
This 465-nucleotide ribosomal RNA is filed under the name uncultured bacterium. Its description in RNAcentral is "bacterial SSU rRNA". It matches the Rfam family "Bacterial small subunit ribosomal RNA", at positions 335 to 792 of the family's 1533-position model. The record is from RNAcentral.